Molecule: ribosomal RNA, 481 nt
Filed under: uncultured Planctomycetota bacterium
Lineage: Bacteria; Pseudomonadati; Planctomycetota
Description: bacterial SSU rRNA
Rfam family: Bacterial small subunit ribosomal RNA
Source: RNAcentral
AGAGUUUGAUCCUGGCUCAGAAUGAACGUUAGCGGCAUGGAUCAGGCAUGCAAGUCGAGCGAGAAGUUUUAGAUUGACGCUUCGGUUGAUUUCUAAGAUGGACAGCGGCGUAAGGGAGAGUAAUGCAUAGUUACGUACCCCGGGGUUCGGAAUAGCUGUGGGAAACUGCAGGUAAUGCCGAAUAACAUCUCCGGAUCAAAGGUGUGAUUCCGCCCUGGGAGCGGACUAUGUUGUACUAGCUUGUUGGUGGGGUAAUGGCCUACCAAGGCGACGAUGCAUAGCGGGCGUGAGAGCGUGGCCCGCCUCACUGGGACUGAGACACUGCCCAGACACCUACGGGUGGCUGCAGUCGAGAAUCUUCGGCAAUGGACGAAAGUCUGACCGAGCGAUGCCGCGUGCGGGAUGAAGGCCCUCGGGUUGUAAACCGCUGUCAGUUGGGAGGAAGGCUCCGUGAAGAGCGGAGCUUGACCUAUCUUCAGAG